UGUCCCGAGGCCGGUCGUGCUCAAAAACCCGCGAUCUCAAUAUUUUCGAACCCUUCGAACCACGCGUGAAUCCCCACGCGAAAAAGGAAUAACACAAAAACGAAUGACGAUUAAAAGUUACGAGAAUAAAUAAUCGAUCCCCCCCCCCCCCCCGAUUCGGUGCGAUUCACUCACACGUUGCGAAUGAAAAUCGCAACGAUCCCGCCGACACGUGCCAAAAUAUACGUGAAUUGAGGUCUUCCCUUUAUUACCCUUGAAAAAAAGAAUUAAAGUAAAAAAAUAAGAAAAGCUUGAAAAAUCAUGCAACAGUGCAAUUGGCUCGACAGCUUUGUUCACGAAACGUCGUCAUGAAGAUCGUCAAUACUUUGUUUUCCUUCUCCGCAUAAUAAUCGCGGAUGCUCCACUGAAAUCGUCCCUCUUUUAAUAUUCUCGUUGAAUCAAGACUCCAUCCAGAAAGUUUAAUGGCUUGUUGAAUAUAUACUCGGUUUUAGUAUGGGAAUUUCUCGAGAGGAUAUGCGCCGCCCCGUUUCGAUGCACUUUGGGUCAUCGGAUAAACUUUAGUGUUUGGAUCUCGCGAGAGCGCGAGGGGUGAGUUUUCGGCCGCAUAACUUAUUGGACGUUGAAGGAGCGUCUUGCUCGAGGACGUGUAUAUAGAUUUAUUUAUAUAACGCAUAUAGUUCGGGGAGAAGUGAAGAAGGAUCAAGGCUUGCCACAUCGUUGCGACCGGUUUUCAACCCAUUUUCGUCGAUCCAUCUUCCGAUUCCACAUACACGUACAUAUGCGUACUUUCGUCUUUAUAUAUAGAUAACCAAGAUCCGGACACCUCUUGUCUCUUCAAUCAUCCCCUGUAGAGGGUCCCUCGUCUGAACAUUAGGUUCGUUGAUACUUGACAAAAAGCACAUAAUCGAAGAGACACUUUUUCCUGGAAUAUAUUAAAAACUUCGACGUCCCCUUUCAUCGUCCAAUGACGAUUGAUCGAAUCAAGGAGAGCCCUGCGUGCAAAAAUUUCCGGUUUGAGAUGACAAAUAUUAAUACUUGCCACAAAUCGAUGAGGGACAAUGGGAUCUAAAUAAUCCGAAGCCAUUGAUAUUUUAUGCGGAAGAACGAGGAAUUAUAAAGAAAAUCGAAAACGAGUGUGCUUUCGGUACGAGUGGAUUAGCCAGUGCUUCGUCGCCGGUGCUGCUGGAAAGUGUCUUCGACUCGAGUGGCCAGUGAUUGUGGUUAUUAGCGAUAUCAGCGUUGAGCGAUGCUAAAUCCGGGCCUCGACAUCCAGAACCGUCGUGCGCCCGUCGAACAUGACGUGAGGAAGAGGAAAAUUUGGCAUUUCGAACUCUGCCAGUUGUCCGCUCGCUUUCAUCCAAAAUCGUGAAUCUUCGUCUAUAUCGAACGAGGACAAAAAUAUAACACUCUUCGAGUCAUCACCCCCCGUUUUCUUUUCCGACUAUCUUACGGCCGUGCCUAUCCGACGAAGUGAGCUUUGGUGUGUGUGAAUGUGUGCAUGUGCAAUAUAUAUAUAUAUUUAUAAAUAUAUAUCAAUAUAAGAUAUAAAAGUAAUAAAAACGAAAUGGGAUCCUGGAGGAAUGUUCUGCUUUCCGUAUUCGUCGCCUGCUUCUUCACCGUGGCUCGUGAAGUUCAAGGUGGCACCGAGCCAUGGAAAAAGAGCGAGAAGAGCGCCGAACGAGGAGCCGAAGUACAACUACCGUGUAUACUGAUAUCGUCACAAUGCGGUGGUCUUCACAGCAUAAAGUGGUACCAUGGCAACACGAGGAUUUUCAUAUUCAGCGAAAAUGUUGGUCUCACUCGCGAGAGUAACGACAUUGCCACUCGGGCAACGAUGGAUUACGACGUUAACACGACGAAAACUUACCUGAGAAUUCCAAACGUUAAACUCGAAGAUGAAGGAUUGUACAAAUGCGAGGCAACGUACCUGUCGGUUAAUCGAGAGUGCAACAAUGUUCAGCACAUCACGCUUACUGUCAAUGUUCGACCCGAUUACGUGAGAGUAAUCGAGAAAGACGAAAAAAUAAAUCUGACUUCGGGGGACGUACUUGGUCCGAUAAACGAGGGUAAACUGGUCAGUCUGCGAUGUGAGAGCGGCGAGGGCAAACCCGUUCCUACAGUCGAGUGGUACAAGGGUGAAGAAGUUCUGAAAGCCAACAGCUCCACGAACACACAGGAUGGAAAUAUCGGGACCGGUAGCAGCGAGCUUCAGAUAACCGUUGGCCGAAACGAGUUGGAUGCAACGUUCACGUGCAAAGUCAGCAGUCCAGCUCUUGACGAGCCCCUGACGCUUGACGUGAAGCUCGACGUACAUGUGAGCCCGGAAAAAAUGGAUGUGAAAGGUGUUGUCGGGCACGUCGUCAGCGGUACGAAGAUCCUGCUGGAGUGCAUCGUGAGCGCUGCAAGACCACCGGCGAACGUGACAUGGUACAACGGUACAGAGCUCUUGAACGACGAAAACGAACGAUUGGAGAUGUUCGGUACGAACAUACGAAAUAACACCCACGGCACGUCGGACACGGACAGUCAUUUGGCAUUCACAGCAUCGGAAUACGACAAUGGCAGAAUGUUCAGUUGCGUUGCCGAAAAUUCCGUUACCGUGGCUGAGGGCAUCAAACCUAUGAAGGAAGUCACUAUUAUUGAAGUUCUCUAUCCUCCAAUAGUGACCCUGCGACAAGAGAAUAUAACAGUCAACGAGACUGACGAAUUCGAUUUGUUUUGUGACUACGUCGCGAACCCGUCGGAGCUUAAAUCCGUCAAAUGGUUACUGGAUGGCGAAAUUAUCAACGUUGGCAAGAACGAUCACUACGACGGCGGUGAGGCAAGCUUCGCUCCUCUCACCGUGAGAAAUGCGUCCUCCAGCGACAUGGGAAGAUACACCUGCAUAUUGGAGAACAGCGUUGGUGAAUCCACUGUGCAAGACUUCAUCGACGUAUCCGUGCUGUAUAAGCCUCAGGUGAAGGUGACGAUGGAACCAGAAGUGCCGGUUAACGAAGCCGAUCGCUUGAACGUAUCGCUCACCUGCGAAGUAGUCGAUGGUAAUCCAAUGACACUGACGACAGUUCGAUGGUUUCUCGAUGGUGAUCUUCUCAAGGAACUGCCUGAUUGUUCUCGCAAUUCAUCGCUCGCCAGCGAUGGUGCAAGUUCGACUUCGACUAAUGGAAUACUCGUCGAUGAGAUAUCGACCUUCUGCGACAUAGAUCCAAGCAAGUUGCUCCUCGAAGCUGUUGGUCGUUCGUUCAAUGGGAAUUAUGCCUGCGAGGGUCGUAACGACGCUGGCUGGGGGAACAGAUCAGCCAGUGCACCGGUCGUCGUUUAUUAUAAGCCGGGACCGGCUACGAUAACGUACGAGCCCAAACGGGUCGUUAAGAAGGGCUCGUUGAACAUUACGUGCUCGGUUCUCGAUCUCGGGCGCCCCGAAGUAACGGGCUUCAAGUGGUUUCGCGGAUCUCAUCAGAUAUCAGGCGAAGAGAGUGCCGUUUUGCGCAUAGAAUCUGUGAAUCUCGAGACUAAAGCGAAUUUCACGUGUAUGGCUUUUAAUGAAGCUGGGGAUGGCGACCCUGCUACCGUUUUCAUCGAUGUUGCAGCCCGACCCGACUUUAUAAAACCACUCAACGGUUAUGCCGGAUUUGCAUACAACUCGACAAACGUCAGCAUCGAAUGUUGGGUCGAGUGCUCCCCGAUCUGCAAUAUAUCGUGGGAGAGAGACGGUUUACCCAUGAAUUUCGAUAAAACCGAACUCUAUUAUCAGACGAAUGUUUAUCACCCACCUGAUCAAAGUAAAAAUGAUUUUGAGAGUAUACAAUCGACCCUCGUUUGGAACAUGACUGCAUGGCCGGACGGCCAUCUCCACCCCUUCAGGGACAACGAAAACUUUACCUGCGAAAGCACCGGAAAUGGCAUUGGACCGGGAGUCAAAAGCGAAACCGUUUUUCGUGUCGAAUUUCCACCGGAAAAUAUGACGAUAUCAAAGAAGAUUAUAGACGUUAUCGUCGAUUCGAUACCCGAGAGCGUGAAAUGCAGCGCGGUAGCCGAACCUGAGCCCAUGUUCCGAUGGUUUCGCGAAGGCUCCACUGACGUUAUAUCGACCGACGCUGUACACGUCUUCAAAACGAAAGUACCGAGACGAAGCAACGGCACAUACAUCUGUCAGGCUUAUAACCGUCACGGUCAAAACAACAUCACUACUUAUCUCAAUGUUCUCUUUAAACCCGAGUGCAGAAUCGACGAAGAGCGAAUAGACGGUGAAUAUUAUCUCGUCUGUUCAGCAACAGCGAAUCCAAAAGAAUCUGAUUUCACGUGGUCCUUGAAAAGUGACAACGACACCCUCGAUCAAAUUGGAGAGAUAAGGGAUGGAAAAGGUUAUCUUCGUCUCGAUACGUCAAUUACGAAUUUCCGAACUUACGUCUGCGUCGCCAACAAUUCAAUCGGAUUUUCAUUGCCCUGCGAGCGCGGCGUACCCGCCCGCCAUGGACGUGACAGUAAUUUGCCGUGGUGGCUUCAACUGGAGGGUGAUCUUUUGAUAAUCAUAAUAAUCGUCGCGAUGGUUAUUCUGCUGGCGAUAGUGAUAUGCUGCAUCGUCAUCUGGUUGAUUUGUCGUCGGAAGCGAGCCCAGGCCAAAUAUCCCAGUCAAGCAACGAACAAUAAUCACGUUGACAGCGUUUCGGAGAGUUUGCCGGAGCCCGAGACGAAAACAUUUUACGAAAACUUGCCGUUCCACGGAAUUCAAACGCCACCCAAUAAGUCGAACAACCUGUACAACUAUCAAGAAUACUAUCAGCAGCAUCAAAAGCAUCAGCAACAGCACUAUCAAAUUCAACAGCAACCACAGGAGAUGCAACAGUACGGGAACUACAAUACAGUAGGAACCGGUUUGCCGAGCGGAAGUUUAAGCCAACUGACGUUACCCUUAACGCGGAGUCUUUAUCAUUCGUCGAUAGUGAGCCCGCUGGAGACAUCAUUCAUGCCAGUUCACGCACAAAAUCACAGCACAGUUGGAAGACAACAUCAUCAUCAGUUCGGCGCGACGACGAAUCAACAUCAUCCUCAGAAUCGGAGCGAGGACGGUCGUGGAUACGUCGUGAGUGGUGAAAAUCGGAGUAGCAGCAACAGUCCACCACUGUCCCUGAUACACGGAACCUCUGACCUCGAAUUAUCGAGUUACGCUCUCGAUCAUCAGUUACAACAAUCGUCGCGUCGCUCAGCAUCAAAUCAGCAACUGCAACACGGUGGACGCCGUAACGAGAGAAGAAAGUACCAAAGGAAACAACACAGCGAUCGUAACAACGAUCGAAAGAGCAAGCACCGUAGUCGAGCCAAUGCGGAGAGCCGUCUCCGUGGUGGCGGUGGUGGAGCUUUGAUGAGUGACACGAGUGAUCUCCUAAAUUCAAUCACGAAUUGCGGUGUUCCAAUUAUCUCAGACGUGACAGCGUCGUCACAAACGACGACAACGACGAACAUGCCUGGUGGACGUCGUAGCGCCGGCGAUACAAAUUCGGCCCUUAAAUACAAUCAGUACCGUCAAGAUCUUGGUAUACCGGAGAGUUACAAGAUCGCUUAUCCUCACUAUUACGAAGACGCCAUAAACUCAUGCCCCAGUGAUUAUCGCGAUAUCGAUGGAUCUUCCGCUCCCGUUACAAAUGGCACGAGUCUUAGUAGCAACAAUAGCGGCUCUCAUCAACAACGGGAACGUCGAACGAACCAGUACGUCACCGGUACCGGGGGCAUCGCCAUGCCCUCGACACCCCCUUCCACAAUGACGAUAAAUCCACCCUCGAGUGGUGGCAACAAUACUCACUACAACGAUCUUGCAAACAACACAAAAAUCUCGACAAAGUCGAGGAGAUCAUCGAGCGGAUAUGCGCGGUCGGAACAGAUGAUGGGUCUUUCAGGACGAGCGAGCAAUCAGUCACCUCCUAUAACGAACACUCUCACCGCUGAUACGACAACGAACGUCACUUUGCUCGAUGAUACAACGUCCAGUACGACGACGAUCGUUGCUGCCGCUAACGCUCCUACUACUAACAGCACGUCGUCGUCUUCGUCCGCUACAACCCUAUCCGCAACUUCCUCCAACCCCCCGAGCACCCACUACGCCGAGCUACACUUUCGUGACGUCGGUCGGGAAAUCGACGUUUGAAGGAUGGUAUGCCGACAAAAAGCGACACGUAUAUUUACUAAAGACAGAGAGAAGAUGAGAAAAUCGAAAACGGCAACCGACGGAUCGAUAGCCAUUCAAACCGGAGUUUUCGGAUCUGGACUACGCCGACGUGGAUUA
RNAcentral lists this unclassified non-coding RNA (6277 nucleotides) under Venturia canescens. RNAcentral describes it as "uncharacterized LOC122412953, transcript variant X1". Lineage: Eukaryota; Metazoa; Arthropoda; Insecta; Hymenoptera; Ichneumonidae. The record is from RNAcentral.